CGCGACUUCCUAUCCAAACCCAAAAAUUUCGGGCUGGUUAGUGGUUAUGCCUCCACCAAAUCCAUCUGCUGGUCGGUGCAUCUCCUCUCCGCCGUGAUUCAUGGAUCACCACCGCGCCUCAGCACUCCCCGCCGCGCCCCACCCUCCCACCCGCGACUCAGCUCUCCCCUCCGUGCCCCACCCUCCCACCCAAGCACAGAUCCGUGGCCGCAUCUGGAUCAACCCGCGCGCCGACGGGCAUGUCGUUCCGCCCCUGGGAAUCAUCGUCGGGGCAUCCUUGACCGCCAUCAGCCGACACAUGCAGUAGGGUUCUCCAACUCUGCAACACGUCGUGCCGCUGAUUUCACCUGGUUGCAGCCAUUGACGAAGGCGGCGAUGAUACAAUCAUAGCAUGUCGAGGUUGGAAUUAGGAUGGUCACCAUCUCUUGUUUGAAGCACCGCUGAUGGGGUAGGGGACUUAUCCAUGUUGUCGGAAGCAGACUUGUGUGCUAAUCCUAGUACCUCGCUGCCCUCAAUCAACAUGUGUAGGCACGGCUAAAGGGUUACCAGUGGUGGCAUGAGGUUGUUGUUGCAGGUCAUCGACGAGCCUCUGAUGUUCCAAGUCGACGCGCAUGUGCCAUCGCCUGAGACGUGGCCGGCGGGCAUUGUGGCAGAUGACACAAAAUCUGUGAAGCAAAUUCUCAUCUUAGUGGAAGAGGACUCGAACCUCCACGCUCUUCAGCACGAGAUUUUGAGUCUCGCGUGUCUACCAUUUCACCAUCAAGGCAUCUUGAAAGUGAAUCAUAUUCCAUGAAUAUGAUAUCUAUCUAAUGUGAUAUAUGGAAUAUAUGACAAAGGUGGAGUCUUGGAGUAUUUCGAUCGAUCGGUCAUAUAGGCCUGAGUCAGACAUAAAAUAGCUUCGAUUUGCAUUAUCCGUAGGACACCUUAUAUGUAUCAAAAUCGAUAUCAAAAUCAAAAAAGUUAUUUCCUCCGCAUGAAGCAAUGAUUAUGGAAACAAAUAUGUGUUUCAUUCAAAGGAUGUACUAUUACCUGGAAGCAAGUUAUGUGCUCUUUUUGAAUCAA
This is a long non-coding RNA of Lolium perenne, 1062 nucleotides long. RefSeq lists it as uncharacterized. The record is from RefSeq and is a predicted model, not a curated record. Lineage: Eukaryota; Viridiplantae; Streptophyta; Magnoliopsida; Poales; Poaceae.